GGUAAGCAAGCAAAGGAGCGUGAGAAUGUUCAUACAUCCAAUACGUAGCUAAAUAGAUCCAUUCUCUCUCUUCCAGGGAUCAGAGAGAUUGGUUGUGUGUUCCUCGGAGGGGCUUUGUACAGUAUAAGUGAUAGUAUGUGUCGGAAACUGGAUAAAUGUCCGAAUAUUGACCCAAAUACUGAAUAUCGAUAGAGUAUUGAUAAUGUUAGGCCACUGGGGGCAAAAGAGCUCAAUCACCACCAACGCCGUGGUGGUAGAGAGGGGACGACGAAUCACCCAAUCCAAUCCCUCCAACAGAUAAUUGAUUACAUGAUAAAAAAGGC
This 323-nucleotide small RNA is filed under the name Histoplasma capsulatum. RNAcentral's name for it is "hypothetical RNA". The record is from RNAcentral. RNAcentral also lists the same sequence under 1 other name. Lineage: Eukaryota; Fungi; Ascomycota; Eurotiomycetes; Onygenales; Ajellomycetaceae.